This is a long non-coding RNA of Ipomoea nil (Japanese morning glory), 154 nucleotides long. RefSeq lists it as uncharacterized. Lineage: Eukaryota; Viridiplantae; Streptophyta; Magnoliopsida; Solanales; Convolvulaceae. The transcript is spliced from 3 exons. The record is from RefSeq and is a predicted model, not a curated record.
GAUUGUUGCUCUGCUGGGCAACAGUGUGUGCUUCAAGCACAGGUGCAGCGCCAGUUGGACACACAAUGUGAUUAUGCAUCAAUAACUGGCUAUGCUUUUCAGCCACCAGUAAAGCUGUAAUGAGCUCUGGAUGCAAGGUAAAUAUUUAGCCUUG